This 95-nucleotide transfer RNA is filed under the name Caballeronia novacaledonica. Its description in RNAcentral is "tRNA-Tyr". It matches the Rfam family "transfer-messenger RNA", at positions 277 to 374 of the family's 374-position model. Rfam says of the family: Bacterial tmRNA, also known as 10Sa RNA or SsrA, is named for its dual tRNA and mRNA-like properties. Its role is to liberate the mRNA from a stalled ribosome. The record is from RNAcentral. Lineage: Bacteria; Pseudomonadati; Pseudomonadota; Betaproteobacteria; Burkholderiales; Burkholderiaceae.
GCGUCGUUAUGGUUAAAUCAAAAGACAGAACUAAGUAUGUAGAACUGUUCGUAGAGCGCUUCUGGACGCGGGUUCGAUUCCCGCCGCCUCCACCA